Long non-coding RNA from Myotis daubentonii (Daubenton's bat), 2215 nucleotides. RefSeq lists it as uncharacterized. The record is from RefSeq and is a predicted model, not a curated record. Lineage: Eukaryota; Metazoa; Chordata; Mammalia; Chiroptera; Vespertilionidae.
CCGUGACUAUUGAAAGAGAGAAGAAAAUCUCUACCAAAAAGGUCAGCUCCGGGGAUCAGUUCUACAUGGGCACUGGGGAACUCAAGAUCACGGGGACCGCACAAUACUAAAGACAGAAGCAUAAAGUAAAUUGAAAACUCCAUUAAGGGAACACAGCACCUGAGGGAAACCACAGCUUUGAAGAACAAAGGAGAGGACAUCGACGUCCAUCCUGCUGACCCCUUUCGGAUGAUCGGUGCUGCACUUGAUCCGAGGACUGCCUUGAGGAUACAGAAGAAACAUUCACUUUGCACGCUGAUCUGGGGAGUUGGGGGUAGAAAAUCAACCAUAAAACCUAACAACAGUUUUACCCAAGGAGAGCAUAAAGCUACACAUAAAAUGAGAUAUAAUCCAACAGGGAGACCCAGGGAAGGAGCUUGGAACUAAUUGAGGCUAAACUGAAAGGGGUAAAAAUAAUACCUCAAGAAGGACAUUAUGUUGAUACAAAUAAAACCCAAUUAAAAUUUAAAAAUGAAAAAUCACUAAAUAGAAUAAAAUAUGUUGGGGUUGUAUAAUAGCAGGUUAAAUAUAUGUUAUUGGGGGGUGUGGGUGGGGGUGAGGAGGGUACAGGCUCAGUUGAACUUUCCUAAAAAGGUCAUUGCUAAUUCGGCAUUACAUUCAAUGCACAGAGAAGCACAGAAUGUGAGAAAAUCGAAAGUGUUUCAAGAUGAUAAAAGUUUGGAAAUGGCUGCUAGAAAAUCCCAUUUUGUUUUUUUAAUUAUAUAUAUAUUCCUCUUCUAAUCUUUUUUUUAAGUGAAUAUAUAUUGCUGGCUCAGUGGAAACCUAAGUUUCCUUAGAGAUCAAAUCGAAAUUCUAUAUAUGAAAAACACAUUUUUGUGAAUAGCACACAUCUCUUUUCACGAUAUUCAUGCCAGAAUUCAUCACAACAUGAAAAAAAAAAUUGGCUGACUUCUGUGUAUUUUACAACAGGCUGCAUUUGCAAGCACAUUUUCAUGGCCUCAUUCUUGGAAGAACGGCAUUUCUUUUCAACAGAUAUGAUCUGGAAGAAAUGUUCUUAGAAUCUUAAUUUAAGAGGUGUAGAAAAGAGGCACAGGCAGUCCGGUUAAGUGACAAUAAGAAAACAAUUCUGGCUAGAUCGGGAAAUGAAAUCUCAAAUUCUUGGCUUCUUGCCCAGGUUCUGAAGGCUCAUGCAUUUUAGAACAAAAUUAAAGAAACAUAAUUUAAAUAAGUGUUAUACUAAAAACUAUCUUUGGGCAGAGGAUUAGGACUCUCUGGCUUCAAUACUAACUAGGGGGUGUGCCCUUGGACAAGUUACCUGUCUUCUCUCCUCUGAGAGUUCAUUCAGCAGGGUUACCUCUGAACACCUCGUGGGUUGAAAAUGGUUCCUCGCCUUUCAUUCCCACUGAAACUGUCAACUCCAAGUCUCAAUUGCUAUUAAUAUCCUUAUUUAAAUAGCUUUUCUUUGCAAUUUAUUUUCCCUCUAUCCUUAUUCCGAUUUAAUUUCUCUCUAUCCCAAAUAGUGGUGCCAUAUUCAACUCUUCCAGUACUGUUAUUAUUUUAUAAGUUCUUUAUUAAUUAAACAUUUAAUAAUGUCCUAUUCCCAAGUGUUAAAAUACAAAGGAUAUCAACCUUGCUUUUCAAAAGCACUCUCCCACUGUUCUUAUAUUUCAUCAUUCCUACAUGUGAACAGUCUUACUGUCCAGUUCUCUUUACUCUUUGCUUCUUGGAUAUACAACCCUAUUUGUUAGAAUUCUUGAUGAGGUAUCUGAAAUCUUCACCUCCUGUUGAGUUUUCCUUUUUAAUUUGUCUAUCCAAGUCUUCUUUGUCCUUCAGUACUUGGUUGGAAACUCUCCUAAGUGCCAUUUUUCCAUCACACAAAUGCUUUCUGGGCUCCUUGAGCAUUUUUUAAUAUAUUUCAUUCAAAGUUAUAAAUAUGUUUUACCUUGUGGCAUAUUAUUAUUUUAUUGUUAUUCAGAUACCUUCCUAUUGAAUAAAAGCUCUGCUUUUCAAAACUUUUGGGAAAUAAUUUAUUCCAUUAAGCUAAACUUUCUGGCUAACUGGAGAUUCCCCCUUUUUUGCCUUAACCUUUUCUUAUUUUAACCAUUGUGGAUUGAGAAUAGAUAAUAUACAGGGUGUCCCAAAAUGUAUACACACUUUGAAUAAUUAUAUAAAGACAAUGCUUAUUAAAAUACAUUUUAUUUUCAAGAUGUAAUAG